Long non-coding RNA from Gallus gallus (chicken), 3714 nucleotides. RefSeq lists it as uncharacterized. The transcript is spliced from 3 exons. NCBI's taxonomy places the organism in Eukaryota, Metazoa, Chordata, Aves, Galliformes, Phasianidae. The record is from RefSeq and is a predicted model, not a curated record.
GGCGGAAGGGGAGGCCGCGGGGCGUGCCGGCUGUUCGAACGGCGGCGCUUCGGAGAGCGUGCUCGUGCUGGCGGCACGCGGCGGGACGAGGCGCUGCUGAGCUCGGGAGCGCCCGUGGCUUUGCUGAGAAGGAUCUCCGCGUUAAAGCUUCUCGGCGUUUGUGCAGACUGGCCUCAGUUGCGCGCCACGCGUGCCCGAGCGACGGCGUGACCGAUUGUAAAAACGGGCUGAAGCAAACUUCAAAACCUUUUAAUGCCUUUUUCCCGAAAUAAGCGUUGCUUGCAACGUCUGCAAAGCUGGAGCGAUCCGCGCGCCUCUCGCGCCGCGGUAAGCGCCGCCAUUACAGCCCUGCUGCCGGAGGAACGCGGGCACAGAAAUAGGACGAGGCAGGAGGGUACGGUACUGUACGAUAACAAACUGUUAAAGCCUAAGAAAUGUCAGUUACCUCGCUUCGCUAUAAAAGUAACGCUCGAGCUGUGCUGCGGGGUAAACCACGGCUGCUGGGAGACCUACAGCAAACAGAAGUUGUGUGGCGGUGGAGCUGCGACGUGAAAGCAUGGCAGCGGUCUGCCUUCCAGUACCGAAGUUUCAAAAUAUAGCAAAAAAAACCCCAAAAAACCAACCACGAUCAAACUAUUGAAUCCAAAAUCUCUGAGGCUGGAGGACAAACGUUGAGGUGAAGCCAGAUGUUUACAUAAGCUAUGAGCCAAUCUGUUUUAAACGGAGAGGUCAAGAACUGUGAAGACGUAGGUGUGUUUAAGGCCAUUGGAAAAGUGGGCCCUGCGAGUUAACUCGAAGGUAGUCUGCAUAAAGUUCACUCAAGAUGAGUUUUGCAUGGACAAGAGGAAGGAGGAGCUUUAUCUUUAAGAUGUGACUCCGACAGUCUUAUUAAUGGAAUUCAGUAUCAAGCAGCUUCCUCGUGUUCCUUUGUACCUACAGCAGACUUGAGGUAAGGAGAAAUCUGAAGAAUACAGCACAGUUUUGCGCACUGACACUGAACAUCUGCAUCUCAGAUGAGCAUUUAUCAUGAAUGAUUCUUGCAAAGAAAUGGUAAAAAAAAAAAGUCAGCUAUGUGGCUUGGCUACUGCCAGACCUUCAAAUAAAGACCAGGAGGGUCAACACUCUUCUGAUCAUUUACCUUUUUCUGCUGGAUUACAAAGUUUUUGCCCUAUCUGCAAUUAAUCACAGGAAGUCACUGCUUUCUCAGUACUAAUUAACAUACUUUGAAUAUUUGCCUACGGUUAAAGCCAUUUCAACACCUCCCUUUCCAAAGUAAUUACUCAAAUGCCAUUUGGGGAGAGGACGGCUCGUCCAUUCUACAAUGAGAAUGUACAUGAAGGUAACCUCAAACCCAAUCAAAUAAUCUUCCUAAAACAUAAGGUACUGGGGACAUUUUGAGAAGACUUUUAAGGUCCUGAAAUUCUCUGAAAGUUACAGAGUCCCACCAGAAUAAGUCAUUAGCUACUAACCAGACAUCAGUAUCAUUCUUGCAGCUACUCUGGACAAUGUCUAGAGUCAUAAGACUUCAAUGCUUUACUGCUAUACCCUGGAAAGAAAAAUGGCAGUUAAGCCUAGAAUUAACUCCAUAGCAAAAACCAAGAUUUGUAUUAGUGGACUGUUCUUUAGAAGAGAGCCAAUGUACAUGGAGAACUACGGAGGACAAGGUUGACCUUAGGUAUGACAAGCAGCUCAUGAUUUCUGAGUUACACAGCACGUCCAGAAAGGUCUGAAGUGUCCCAGAUACAGUACGUAGAAACAUCUGGGAAAAUCUGGAGCCACCUUACAUGUGAUUCAUUCAAGAGUUUUUUUUAUUACAGACUGCAAUGCUAAAAGCUGGUUCUCAAACACAUUCUGUGUUAUCACAGCCUCGCUACAUUAGGUAAUGAAGUCCCAGCUUGGAAUAAAAACACCUCUCGUAAUAGCUGCAUAUGCCAGAAGGCAGUCAUUACUUGUCUGUUAUACUCUGAAAAGACCAAUUCAGAGAAAAAUAAAGUAAACUACCAUGAGAGCAAUUGAUGUAUUUAUACACAGGCUCAGAAGUACGAUAUUUGCCCCCCUGGCGUCCAGAAAGGGCACUACAACAAAACCAGGCCAGAACUGCUACCUAUUUCGCCUCCUUACCAUCACUUUUUGUAACUGUUCCAUGUUCAAAAGACAGAUUUUCUUUUUUCCAAAUGAAAGUGAUCUAGGAUUGCUUUUGAUCUGAAUGCAACUCAGAUCUAGAAGUAAUUCAAGCAGUGAAGGUACUUAAAAGUUCUGAAGUCCUCUCUCUCUCUCUACAGUCUUUUAAAACGUGUAGCACCACACUUGCACUGCAGUGGACCAAGCAAAGAAAACAAGCUGGACCCUUACAACCAACCACAAGGUUGACUGACAGACCCCCUGAACAGGCCAGAAAACCAGUUAAUGAAUCUAUGUGCCAUACUGUGACUCGAGGCAAUUUUUCAGUAUACUGUUUAUUAGCUGCAUGUAUUGAGAUUAAAGGAGUCAGUGCAAAUUCCCAGAUUAAACACGUAUUAAGUACUUGUUUUAUAGUAAUUAUCGUAACACAUCUCCCUCUACCAGCAUACAGUAGAACAGCUACUCUAAAGACCAUUUUCAUACACGAAAAGGCUUACAACUUUGCAUCUCAAAUAAGAGGCCUCUCAAACACCCACGUUUUUUUAAUAAAUUUAAAUUAUGCUUCAAAAAAACCUUCAGUGGAAUGUUCUGCUCAAUUCAGUGGUCUUUAAUUCAGUAUGCUGCAAGUUUACUAUCCAACUACAAUUAGCUAUUGAAUUCGCAUUUGGUGUGCAACAGAAAGGCUGAAUAGCUUAUAUUCUACCAACCAUUUCAAAAUAAGCUGAUGCACACAAAAAGAAAAAAAAAAUCACUGUUUCCUACAUCAGUUCAGCAUUAAAAGGUUUGUCUUUUAUUUUUUUUUUUUCCAGUUAAAAAAAACCAGUUGGGACUAUUAUCUCUGUAAUAGCUUCCUAAAAAAGACACAGAACAGCAACUUCUUACCGGACUGCAGGUUUUAUGUUUACACUGGUUUGGAAUGUUCCUAGGCCUUGACUACAAGUGCUGUGCUUCUAGCCAUCAGCAUUGUUACAAGGUGUUUGCUGUGUAGCAUUGUCUUCAAAAGCUUAUCACUCCUCAGUAAAAACUUGUUGUGCUCUUCACACUUAAGUUGGAAAAGUGACAUUACCACCUAUCUGUAUGGAGUUCCAGACUAUUCAGCAAUGAAGUCAAAAAAUACAAGAAGUUCUGAAAGUUCAGUUGUGAUACGAAGUAGAAAUGUCCCUCUGAGCAAACCUCAGCAAAAACAACCUUCAGUUCUGCAUAUAACAGUUAAGCAAUGGGUUCCUUAACGUCACCCUUCCACACGCAGGAACUGUAUGAUGAGCAACACAGCACUUUUCUUCUUGCACAUGCUACAAACGCAACACAACUACCAACACCUCUAUGGAGGCAGCUAUCAAUAUAUUCUCCCCACUGCAGAGAGAGUGCAUGUGCACAAAAGUUAGGCACAAGUGAUUUUCCAAAGAUUAUACCACAAGCAUACAGUAAAAACUUGGUAAUUUCCAGCUCCUAGUUUUAUGCCAUUUCUUCUACACAUUGCUGCCUUGAUGAAAAGAAAAACGUCCUAGAUGUCACAGAUAUUUGAAUCAAAUCAGAAAAGGGGAGUUUGACAACUAUUCAGGAAAAUCUUUCAUUGAAAAAAGAAAACCUUAA